Molecule: long non-coding RNA, 983 nt
Filed under: Salmo salar (Atlantic salmon)
Lineage: Eukaryota; Metazoa; Chordata; Actinopteri; Salmoniformes; Salmonidae
Description: lncRNA (ENSSSAG00000112493.1)
Source: RNAcentral
UACUGUACUGUUAAUGUUACUUUACUAUACUACCAGCUAGCACAGGUCAACAACAGCUUGUCUGUCAGUUACUAGUUUGACAGCUGGGUGUUUCUGAAGAGAUCUUUCUUAUUUUUUGAAAGCUCCUUCCUCCUCUGACACCCAACUCCUCUCACUCACUCUAUCUAUCUCUCUCUCUCUCUCUCUCUCUCUCUCUAUCUCUCCAUGUCAGAGGUGGUGUUCAGGGGAUGGGCAUUUGCCUACACAUCCUCAUUUCUCUGUAGUGACCUCAGUGUCUCCAGGUCUAUAUGUGCUGCAGAGUGAAACUGGUUCAAUCAGGCCGGAGGUUAGACUUCUAAACCACCAGACAACUCAGCUUCCUGUAGGUGACUAAGUCUUAAAACUGUCAACUUCACUGUUCUAAAGUUACCAUGUCUAUUUCAGCAGACGAGGAACACAUUGUUGAGAUGAUGACAAUAUAUGCAUCAGGUAUACAUCACUAUAUUGUAUUAAAUUGAUCCACAUAUAUUUACUGUGAUUGAAAAAGUAUGCUCCAAAAUUGAUUUCCAAGUACAAAUGUUACAGAGACUAACACUUCGCUAACACUAUCCUGUCUCAGUGUGAAGUUAAUGGUGCCAUCAUUUUAGUUUGGGUCUGUUGUGUUUUGGGUUUGAAUGGUGAAGUCAUGGGUUGUUGUAUUGAGGGUUUGGUAGGUGGAGUCUUGGGUUGCUGUGUUGAGGGUUUGGUAGGUGGAGUCUUGGGUUGCUGUGUUGAGGGUUUGGUAGGUGGAGUCUUGGGUUGCUGGGUUGAGGGUUUGAUAGGUGGAGUCUUGGGUUGUUGUGUUGAGGGUUUGGUAGGUGGAGUCUUGGGUUGUUGUGUUGAGGGUUUGGUAGGUGGAGUCUUGGGUUGUUGUGUUGAGGGUUUGGUAGGUGGAGUCUUGGGUUGCUGUGUUGAGGGUUUGGUAGGUGGAGUCUUGAGUUGUUGUGUCUGGAUUGGUGACUGGU